CGAGCGCCGCGCUGCCGAGACCGCACACGGCUGCGCCGCGCCGCCGCGCUUCACUUCUCCGCCGCUUCGUCCAUCCGCCAGCAUCAUGCCCCUGCAGUCCACCCUGUCGGGGGGCCGCGCCGGCCGGGCCGCCAUCGACACGCAGAUGGACGGCCGCUCUUUCGAGCAGCUGCGUCAGGAAUGCCUCCAGAAGCGGGUCCUGUUCGAGGACCCCGACUUCCCUGCGCAAGACUCGUCGCUCUUCUUUAGCCAGGCGGUUCCAGUCAGGAUGGAGUGGAAGAGGCCGCCGGAGUUGGGCGCCAACCCAAAGUUCAUCGUGGGCGACGCCCACCGGACAGAUAUCUGCCAGGGACAGCUGGGGGACUGCUGGCUCCUGGCCGCCAUCGCGUCCUUGACUCUGAAGAAGGACGCUCUGGCCCGGGUGGUCCCCCACGACCAGGACUUUGAGCACCGCUACGCCGGCAUCUUCCACUUCCAGUUCUGGCAGCACAACAAGUGGCUGGACGUGGUGGUGGACGACCGUCUGCCGUCGGUACGCGGCCAGCUCAUCCUGCUGCACUCGGCCUCCAACAAUGAGUUCUGGAGCGCCUUGUUGGAGAAAGCCUACGCCAAGCUGCACGGCAGCUAUGAGUCGCUGAAGGGCGGCAGCACCAUGGAGGCCAUGGAAGACUUCACAGGCGGCGUUGGCGAGAUGCACGAUACCAAAAAAGCCAACGCGGAUCUUUUCAACAUCAUGAAGAAAGGCCUGGACCGAGGAUCCAUGAUGGGAUGCUCCAUCGACAUCACCAGCUCGGCCGAGUCGGAGGCCAAGACCAGCAGCGGCCUGGUCAAAGGUCACGCCUACUCCGUCACCGGCCUGCAGGAGAUCACCUGCCGAGGUCAAAGGGUCAAACUGGUCCGCGUGAGGAACCCCUGGGGUCAGGUGGAGUGGAACGGACCCUGGAGCGACGGUUCCCGAGAGUGGGACUAUGUGGACCAAGGGGAGAAAAAUCGAAUUCUGCAGCACUCCUCCGAAGACGGCGAAUUCUGGAUGACGUUUGAGGACUUCAAGGCCAACUUUGACAAGGUGGAGAUCUGCAACAUGACGCCGGACGCGCUGACGGACAACACCAAGCGCCACUGGGAGGCGCAAUUGUUCGAGGGCCAGUGGAUCCGCGGCUCCACCGCCGGCGGCUGUCGAAACUUCAUCGACACCUUCUGGACCAACCCCCAAUUCAAGCUGGAGCUGGCGGACGCCGACGAUGACGACGACGUGUGCAGCGUGGUCAUCGCGCUGAUGCAGAAGAACCGACGGGAGCUGAGGAAAGAGGGCAUGGACCUCCAGACCAUCGGAUUCUCCGUCUACGAGGCUCCCAACAACGCCGAUCAGCAAGGCAAAGACUUCUUCCGCACGCACGCGUCCAAAGCUCGCAGCAAUACCUACAUCAACCUGCGGGAGGUGUCGGGGCGCUUCACGCUGCCACCGGGCCGCUACUUGCUGGUGCCCAGCACCUUCCAGCCGCACCAUGAGGCGGACUUCCUGGUGCGCAUCUUCUCCGAGAAGAAGGUGGCUGCCCUGGAGAUGGGCAGCAACAUAGACGCGGACCUGCCUGAGCCUCCACCGCCCAGCGCUCCCGAGGAUGAGACGGAUGAGGAGAAAGGACUCAGGAGGCUCUUCGAGCAGCUGGCUGGAUCGGAUCGAGCCAUCUCCGUCAGGGAACUUCAGCAGCUGCUCAACGGUGUCCUCAGCAGCCGCAAGGAGAUCCAGUUUGAUGGCCUGAGCCUCCACACGUGCCACAGCAUCAUGAAUCUGAUGGACGUGGACAACACCGGGAAGAUGGAGUUCCAGGAAUUUAAGGUCUUCUGGGAGAAGAUGAAGAAGUGGAUCAUGCUCUUCCUCUCCUUUGACACAGACCGCUCGGGCAAGAUGUCCUCCUACGAGCUCCGCAGUGCCCUCAAAGCUGCAGGCAUGCAGCUGAACAAUCAGAUGCUGCAACUACUUGGCCUGAGGUUUGCCGACGAGAAGUACGACAUCGACUUUGAUGACUAUCUCACCUGCAUCGUCCGACUGGAGAACAUGUUCCGAGUUUUCCAGGCUAUGGAUGAGCACAACAAGGGCCGGAUUCGAAUGAACAUGUUGCAGGUAAGCUAACGCAAACAUUCAUGCUAAACCUCUUUAGUAUUGCUGAUUUUCACUCAUCACGGGUGGAUGUAGAAUAUAGUGUACAGGGUUUUGUAUUCCAUUUAACUUGGUCUUUGCUUCUCUGUCAGUUUCUGAUGUUGUCCAUGAACGUGUGAGAAGACGCCGUGAGCAAAACGGAAGCCUACAGAAGAACAAAAGUUGUCCCGUUCUCAUAAGAUGCAUACAUAUACAUAAAUGCUUGUUCUAUCAUUGUGCUGUAAAACUUUCUAGUCUGGACAGGAAUGGAGCAAAGAAUGUGACAUAUCGGUUUGAGGGCUUAAACUUAUGUUUGAUUAGAACUUUUUGAUUUUCUUUUUGUCACCACUAUGAACCAAUAAAUUGUGAAUAAAGCCGUGAAAUAUU
This is an RNA transcript of Syngnathus acus (greater pipefish), 2524 nucleotides long. It is a transcript of the gene named calpain 9, with no coding region annotated. Lineage: Eukaryota; Metazoa; Chordata; Actinopteri; Syngnathiformes; Syngnathidae. The record is from RefSeq and is a predicted model, not a curated record. The transcript has 19 exons.